UAGGGGGCAAGCGUUAUCCGGAUUUACUGGGUGUAAAGGGAGCGUAGGCGGUUUAGCAAGUCAGAAGUGAAAGCCCGCAGCUCAACUGGGGGACUGCUUUUGAAACUGUUAAACUAGAUUGCAGGAGAGGUAAGUGGAAUUCCUAGUGUAGCGGUGAAAUGCGUAGAUAUUAGGAGGAACACCAGUGGCGAAGGCGGCUUACUGGACUGUAAAUGACGCUGAGGCUCGAAAGCGUGGGGAGCAAA
This 245-nucleotide ribosomal RNA is filed under the name uncultured bacterium. Its description in RNAcentral is "partial 16S ribosomal RNA". It matches the Rfam family "Bacterial small subunit ribosomal RNA", at positions 528 to 772 of the family's 1533-position model. The record is from RNAcentral.